Long non-coding RNA from Camelus dromedarius (Arabian camel), 852 nucleotides. RefSeq lists it as uncharacterized. Lineage: Eukaryota; Metazoa; Chordata; Mammalia; Artiodactyla; Camelidae. The transcript has 3 exons. The record is from RefSeq and is a predicted model, not a curated record.
AAGAUCUGUGUGUGUGUGUGUGUGUGUGUGUGUGUGAGAGAGAGAGAGAGCGAGAGAGAGAGAGCGAGCGAGAGAGAGAGAGAGAGAGAGAGAGAGAGAGAGAGAGAGAGACGGAGACAAAUACAGAGAGAGAGGAGGAGGAAGCUGUACUAUCCCAGACCCGCCCUGGGGCGUGGCCCUGUGGCCCUGCUGGCCUGGAGGCCAAGCCAGGCACAAAGGACUGAUUCUCUCUGCAAAUGAAAUCUGGGGACAAUGAAGAGAGUGCAAAGUCUCCACAUCCACUCAUCAGAAAUCCUCCAGGCCAUUCAGCCAGACACCGGGUCAUGCCAUAAAGAGCUGCUCUGAAACUGAAAACCUUGCCAAGGAGACUCACCCACUGCAUGUUCGUUAGAGGAAAGGAGAAGACAUGGACAUGUUAAAGCUGCAGAAGCAAACAGGUCUCCCCACAAAUGCAUAUAUGCUCAUACACAUGCAAUUCUGCAAAGAAGUUCAAGGGCUUCAAAAAUCCCCUGAGACCAGAGGAGCCAAGGUGAAGAAGAUCUAAAGGAAGGUGAAAUUGCCAAGAAUCCAGAUGUUGGCAGAAACAAUAAAAGUGACAGGCAUGAUAUGCAUUGAUAGUAGCUUCAGAAUAAAACCAAUCACCAUUUGGGGUUUUGAGAAAGAACUGCUGACCCUGAGUUGGUCUUUUCAGACACAAGAGUAACAAUAAGUCAUCAACGGACUGCCAUCGUUGAAUAUAAAGAAUGACUCUGUGUCUGGAAGGUAACAUGCUGGACAAGGCGCAGGACGAUACUGAUCACAAGGAUAUUGUCUCAUCAAAAGUGUCCACACCUAUAGCAAGUGCUAGAAGUA